CCUACGGGUGGCAGCAGUAGGGAAUCUUUCACAAUGGGCGAAAGCCUGAUGGAGCAACGCCGCGUGCAGGAUGAAGGCCUUCGGGUUGUAAACUGCUUUUAUAAGCGAGAAAUAUGAUGGUAACUUAUGAAUAAGGAUCGGCUAACUACGUGCCAGCAGCCGCGGUCAUACGUAGGAUCCGAGCAUUAUCCGGAGUGACUGGGUGUAAAGAGUUGCGUAGGUGGCAUAAUAAGUAGCUAGUGAAAUCUGGUGGCUCAACCAUUCAGACUAUUAGCGAAACUGUUAAGCUCGAGACCGUUAGGGGUAACUGGAAUUUAUAGUGUAGGAGUGAAAUGCGUAGAUAUUAGAAGGAACACCAAUAGCGUAGGCAGGUUACUGGGACGGUUCUGACACUAAGGCACGAAAGCGUAGGGAGCAAACGGGAUUAGAUACCCUGGUAGUC
RNAcentral lists this ribosomal RNA (442 nucleotides) under uncultured bacterium. Its description in RNAcentral is "partial 16S ribosomal RNA". It matches the Rfam family "Bacterial small subunit ribosomal RNA", at positions 338 to 795 of the family's 1533-position model. The record is from RNAcentral.